GUCUACGGCCAUGCUACCCUGAACAAGCCUGAUCUCGUCUGAUCUCGGAAGCUAAGCAGGGUCGGGCCUGGUUAGUACUUGGGUGGGAGACCACCUAGGAAGACCAGGUGCUGUAGGCA
Molecule: ribosomal RNA, 119 nt
Filed under: Pteropus alecto (black flying fox)
Lineage: Eukaryota; Metazoa; Chordata; Mammalia; Chiroptera; Pteropodidae
Source: RNAcentral